AUCAUCACCACAGAUCUCCAAUACCGUUUGUGGGCUCCAUCCACACGGCCUUUCCUGCUUCUCGAGGCUCCGUCCUGAGACCUGCCUGGGCACAUCCACACUUGUGGAGCCAGAGGCAGCCUCAGGGUCUGAACGCUGGCACCUGUCUGUGGAGCAGCCGGGAUUCCUCGGGGAAAAGAGAAACAGGUUCCGAUUAUUUUAGGUACCGAUGUCCCUGCAGCCUGGGGUCCAGGUAACGGUCUCGGUAACUACCCGCUUCCCCAUCUGCUGCUGAGACAUCUGUCCCCCCCGAGAACCCCAGCCCAGGGCUAAGGAGACCUUACCUCCUCCGGGGGCAGCCCCCUGCUGACCCUUCACUCUGGGUCCAGAAACAGUCCUGACGAAUCCGCCCGUCACGUAGCCCCGGGGUGUUGGCGAUUCUGUUAAUUCCAGUCUCUUCCUGUUCUAGAAUUUAUGAAUCCCCCAUUGCUCAGUUAGCUGGACCNCUGGGAUCAAAGCGUUUUUUUCUUUUUAGGGCCGUGACUGCAGCAUGUGGAAGUGCCCAGACUAUAGGGGUUGAAUCGGAGCUGCAGCUGCCAGUCUACACCACAGCCACAGCCAUGUGGAAUCCAAGCCACUUCUGUGACCUACACCACAGCUCACGACAGAGGCCAGAUCCUUAACCCAGGGAGUCGCCAUACCUCUCAUGAGAAGAUCUGAGCAGUUCCCUGAGGCCGACGGAAAGGGGAACUGCCUGGGCGGACACCGGUCUCGCUGGGAAACCGAUGGUUGGUUCCAACGUGUCAGCGGCUUUGAGAGUUUUUAGAGAUUCCCCAAGAGAAAUCACUCUCUGCCAUCAAAUGACCGCAGUGCUGAACAGUGCUAAGACUCCGUGCGAAGCCACCUGCUCUGCUCCUGGGACGUCAGGUCAUAGGAGCUGGAAGGACCUCGCCGUCUCGGUGACAGUGACUACAAUUGGGAUUAACUUUCGGAGCAGAUGCUCGAUGGCUGUCUGCUUCCCACCUCUGUCACUGACGACUUUCCAGGCACCCUCCCACCCUGGGUGCACAUGCCCACUGCCCUGCACGGAUGCACACAUGCAGACACAGACAUGUACAGAGAUGACACAUACACACCUGUACACACACGCUCACAUAAAGACACAAUUAUAGACACAUGCAUACACAAAACAUACAACAUGGGCAGACAUGCACAGACACACAGAAACAGAUACACACACGCACAAAGACUCACAUAACACACAAGACCACACCCUCACACGGACACCCCUGUGCACACAGUGAGUUCUCUAGAAUCCAAAAACCACUCUCCUGCCUUCUCUUUAACCAAGUUCAAAAACUACAGAUUUAUGGCCUUUCAUUUUUGAGUUGAAAAUACAACCAACAGUUCCCAGGUUCAAAUGCAUGUUUCUAGGCGUCUCAGCACUGUUGGAUGUAUGUAUAUUACAUAUGCUCGGCUGUCCCCACUUACACACGGACAUUCUAGAGGUGCUUGGGGUAGAUGGAUAUAUGUAUACACACACACACACUGGGGUAGAUGGACGACCAGAUCAAUAGAUACCAGUUGCUAUAACUCUCAGUAUGAGUCCACUCAGCUGCCAAAAGCAGAUACCCCAGACGGGGCAGCUUCAACAAGAGGCACUUAUCCCUCCUGGUGCUGGAGGCUGGCAUCUGAAGUCCCCUGGCAAGGCAAGGCCACUGCCUGGACGUUCACAAGUGCCCUGGCGGUUCUUACUGCGAGCCAGCCGGCUGGCUGGAGGAGACCUGCAGGUGACCACAGAGAAUGUCCAGGGGGAUGAGAGGAGAAGGGGAGCUGCCAGCAUCGUCUGUACCUCCCUGCUCUGCAGAGAUGCAGGAAGCAGUUCAGCUUCGGGCUGCUCUGGAGGGCAGGCAGGGGGGCGGGUUCCAGAACCUUCGGACUCAGAUGGUCCCUGCUAGCCAGCUCCAAACUCUGUUCCUGCAGAUUCAGCCUCAGUGCAUCUGAGUCCACACACGUGUUCCAGAACCGGGGUGCUGGAUGUUGGGGCACGGGGAGGUGGGGGUGCAAACUGACCUCUGACACUGCAACGCCCCCAGCAGGCAGCUUCUCAUGGGGCUCCAGCCAGGUGGACCAGUUGGGCAGGGGUGGGCAUGCUCCCCUUUGGAAGGGAACCCAAAGCGCCUUAAGUCCUGCCCUCACAGAGUUUGCAGGCUCCUAGGGACGCUCGUGAAAAUCAGUUCGUGGAAAAGUAAAUCUUUCUCCCUGAGCUUUAGGCUUCUGUUCAUCUGUCUGGUCAUCAGAGCUUCCCAAGGAGUUACCUUCCCUGCAGUGUCCGCUCCCUCCCAGCUCUGGAUCCCGCAGCCUCUCGUGGUCCCUCUAAAGAAGUACCACGGACCGGGCAGCUUCAAAGGAAGAUGUGCUGUCUUAGUGUUUUAAAGGCCAAAGCGCUCAAGUCAGGCUGCCCGCAGGGCUGGUUCCUCCUGGAGCAGCUCCAGCGGAGAAUCUGCGGCCUCUCCCAGCUUCUGGAUGCGGCAGCAGUCCUGAGCGUGCGGUCCCUCCUCCAUCCCCAGAGCCUAAAGUCCAGCAUCUCGCGAUCAAACGGUCCUCUGCCUCUUAUGGGAACCUCUGUGAUGAUGCUGGACCACCUGGAAAAUCCCAGCCAAGGUCCUUCACGUGGCCACAGCUGCCAAGUCCCCUCUGCUGUGGGACGUCACAGAGUCGCAAGGUCUGGGGGUCAGGGUGUGGACGUCCUUGGGGACAGGGCUCUGUCCCCCACAAAGGGAUGGGGACGUGGUUCUGUCCCCCCACACACACUGAGCUCCUUCACUUCUAAUGCUGUCUUACUGUAUCUUUAAACAGCCCAGAAAUAAACGCACACACCUACGGCCCCUUAAUCUUCCACAAAGGAGGCAAGAACAUCAAAGGGGCAAAAGACAGUCUCUUCCCAACCAGGAGUGGGAAACCUGGACAGCUGCACGUAAAUCAAUGAAACUAGAACACACCCUCACACCAUGCACAAAAAUAAACGCAAAAUGGGCUAAAGACACGAUGCCAUAUAUCUCUGAGAUCCCAGGCACAACAUUUUCUGAUGUAAAUCAUACCACAUGUUUUCUUAGGUCAGUCUCCCAAGGUAAUGGAAAUAAAAGCAAACAUAAAC
Molecule: long non-coding RNA, 3136 nt
Filed under: Sus scrofa (pig)
Lineage: Eukaryota; Metazoa; Chordata; Mammalia; Artiodactyla; Suidae
Description: lncRNA (ENSSSCG00050062647.1)
Source: RNAcentral